This 429-nucleotide ribosomal RNA is filed under the name Bacteroidota bacterium. RNAcentral describes it as "Bacteroidetes bacterium partial 16S ribosomal RNA". It matches the Rfam family "Bacterial small subunit ribosomal RNA", at positions 355 to 776 of the family's 1533-position model. Lineage: Bacteria; Pseudomonadati; Bacteroidota. The record is from RNAcentral.
UAGGGAAUCUUCGGCAAUGGGGGGAACCCUGACCGAGCAACGCCGCGUGAGUGAAGAAGGUUUUCGGAUCGUAAAGCUCUGUUGUUAAGGAAGAAAGAGUGUGAGAAUGGAAAGUUCAUACUGUGACGGUACUUAACCAGAAAGGGACGGCUAACUACGUGCCAGCAGCCGCGGUAAUACGUAGGGGGCUAGCGUUGUCCGGAAUCACUGGGCGUAAAGGGUUCGCAGGCGGAAAUGCAAGUCAGGUGUAAAAGGCAGUAGCUUAACUACUGUAAGCAUUUGAAACUGCAUAUCUUGAGAAGAGUAGAGGUAAGUGGAAUUUUUAGUGUAGCGGUGAAAUGCGUAGAUAUUAAAAAGAAUACCGGUGGCAAAGGCGACUUACUGGGCUCAUUCUGACGCUGAGGAACGAAAGCGUGGGUAGCAAACAGG